GAGUGUUUGUGUGCAGUUCCCUUGGUUGGUUUGUGCACAGGUUUGGCACAGUGAGUGUUUGUGUGCAGUUCCCUUGGUUGGUUUGUGCACAGGUUUGGCACAGUGGGUGUUUGUGAGCAGUUCCCUUGGUUUGUGUGUGCACAGGUUUGGCACAGUGGGUGUUUGUGUGCAGUUCCCUUGGUUGGUUUGUGCACAGGUUUGGCACAGUGGGUGUUUGUGUGCAGUUCCUUGGUUUGUGUGUGCACAGGUUUGGCACAGUGGGUGUUUGUGUGCAGUUCCCUUGGUUGGUUUGUGCACAGGUUUGGCACAGUGGGUGUUUGUGUGCAGUUCCCUUGGUUUGUAGGUCCAGUGUGGAUUCUGUCCCUCUGCAAGCUCUGUCACUGCUGCUCUGAGGGACCUCUCUGGAGAGCACCACUCUCACCUUGUGUGCUGCCUUCUCCCCUUGUCUGCUUGCUCUAAACGGGUUAUUUGUUCUAGAUCACUCCCCGAGCACUGUCCCUGGAUGGAAUCCUCAUCCCCUGAGCACUGCCACCAGCCUCUGUGUGACCCUCUCUGGUGAGAGCUCCUCAAGCAGUGCCAUAAACUCAGGGAUGCUGUGAAAGCCUUUUAUGGAAGGAUUUCUUCAGGCUGCGUGUUAUUGAUGGUUCCUGCAGGUUCACACACACCGUGCAGAAACUUGUCCUUAAGAUGCUCAGACUCUGCAAUAUCAAAAAUAGACUGAAGAGAAGAAGGUACUGAGAGAGGCAGGACAACCUGUCAGCAGCCUCUGGCUUCCCAGAUCUGGUGGGAAGUUCUGAUUUCCUCCAAAGUGGCAGCAGCUCGCUCGCUGAGGGUGCCAAGCAGACAGAUGGCAAUGUUGAAGUGUUCUCUGUUGUGCCUAUCAUCAGGUCUAGUAAAGAGACAACUCAGGAGCAACAACAUGCUGGGGUAGAGUAAAUAAUACUUGCUACCACUUUUUUGUGGGGAGGGAGGCUGUUUGUGGGAAGCUGCUGAUGCACAGCUGAGCUGGACGCUUUAAUUUGGAUGGAGAAGAAAUAUUAGUUAGGAGGAUGGGUUUAUAUUAACAUUGUGCUGCCUUGGAGCAGAGAAAUUAAAAUUUGAUUCCUAUAGAAAAAGAAUAACUGUAAUGUUCAAGUUCAGUGGAAGGAAGGAGGGAAGGGAGCCCCAGAGUGCCAGGGGGGAUAACUCUGCUUUGGCACGGGGUGCUGCCUCUCUGUCUUUGCUUUUUCUCCCAGAUCCACAUCUGGCUGUUCCAUGUUCUGUUCAAAAUGCCAAGAUAAACUCUGAGAUGUUAAGCCUUGUGUUUUACCUGUGUAAGCAGUAGCAAUUAAACUAAUUAUUGUAUAAUCAUAAGGAGAACCGUGAGAAACUGUGUGUUACUAGUCUGAGGUGGCCAUGCUUGGCUGGAAUCUGUGUGUACUAUAGAACAAUGUAAGUUUAAUAAUUAACAUUAAAGUUAUAUAAGGGUAGAAUAUAAAAGCAUUUCCAUCCCGAACCUGUGUCGGAGUCAGAUUUGGGUCUGCACCCCUGACACCCAGAGCUCUUCAAUAAAAGCACCUGCAUAGAAUCAUUUCUCGUGAUUUUGUGUUCCUGAACGCUGACAAAAGUGGCUACAAAAGCAAAAUAAAGUGAAUAAAAACCCCACCAAGCCCCUGGAGUGACCAUGAAAACCAGGCAGUGCUUUCUGACCUGCUGACCACUUGCUGCUUUAUUUACUGGGUCGUGUUUAGUAUUAAAAGGAAAUGAGUCUCACCAGAUCAGCAAAUAGCCCUGCAAACUCAGAUAAUCUGCACAUCCAAAGGCUACAAUUUUCCUAUUGCACAGCCUCCUUAAAGACACUGUACCUGCAGAACCCACAGCUCUGUGCAAUCAAUUGAUUGCCAAAAGUUAUUAU
Long non-coding RNA from Serinus canaria (Common canary), 1894 nucleotides. RefSeq lists it as uncharacterized. Lineage: Eukaryota; Metazoa; Chordata; Aves; Passeriformes; Fringillidae. The record is from RefSeq and is a predicted model, not a curated record. The transcript has 3 exons.